AUCUACGCAGAGUGAAUCGGUCCCUAAGGAACCCCCGAAAGGGCUGCCGUCCGAUGGGUACACGAAAGUGACGAAGUUGCUUUGACUACUGAACCAUGCCUGUCUGUUGGAGCGAAUUGGAUGAUCGGGCCGAGGGCUGCCCCCUCUUCCCCUCGCUCUCCUUUCCUUAAUAUGAACCUUGAGUCAUCAAAGCCUUAACUAAUUCAGAGGGGCUCGGCUGGCCCGGUCGCCCUACGCUACUGGCGCUUCCAAAGGCGAAGCUCUCGUCUUUGGCGACCAGCAAACGGAGGGCGCGCGCCCUGUAGUUUUGAAGCAGGGGCGGACACUUUUUUUCUCUAAAGGCGAAGACUCUUAAGUGGGCGAACACUCGGCCCAGCGGGCGAACAUGCCGGGCUCCGGCUCCGCGCACCUGCUGACACCUUUCGAAGCACUUUCACGUGUGAACCGAAGUCGUCUUGCGUCACUCGUUCCUUUCUCAUUUCAGUGCUCGCCUUUUUUCAUCUUCCGUAGGGGCCUUGAUUUGAUUAGAGUAGAGGUCGCGAGAGAGCAGAGCGUACCGC
This 560-nucleotide long non-coding RNA is filed under the name Phoenix dactylifera (date palm). RNAcentral describes it as "long non-coding RNA (PDAC_LNC000002)". The record is from RNAcentral. Lineage: Eukaryota; Viridiplantae; Streptophyta; Magnoliopsida; Arecales; Arecaceae.